GCUCAGUAACACGUGGAUAACAUGCCCUAAAGCGGGGGAUAAUCUCGGGAAAUUGAGGAUAAUACCCCAUAGAUCAUAGGAUCUGGAAUGACUUAUGGUCGAAAGUUCUGGCGCUUUAGGAUUGGUCUGCGGCCUAUCAGGUCGUAGUGGGUGUAACGGACCCACUAGCCUACGACGGGUAUGGGCCUUGAGAGAGGGAGCCCAGAGAUGGAUUCUGAGACACGAAUCCAGGCCCUACGGGGCGCAGCAAUCGCGAAAACUUCACACUGGAGGCAACUCCGAUGAGGGAAUUCCUAGUGCUAGCACAUUAGUGUUAGCUUUUCUCAAGCGUAGAUAACUUGAGGAAUAAGGGCUGGGUAAGACGGGUGCCAGCCGCCGCGGUAAUACCCGCAGCCCAAGUGGUGGUCGAUUUUAUUGAGUCUAAAACGUUCGUAGCCGGUUUGGUAAAUCCUUGGGUAAAUCGGGAGGCUCAACUUUCCGAAUUCCGAGGAGACUGCCAAGCUUGGGACCGGGAGAGGCGAGAGGUACUUCUGGGGUAGGGGUAAAAUCCUGUAAUCCUAGAAGGACCACCGGUGGCGAAGGCGUCUUGCUAGAACGGAUCCGACGGUGAGGGACGAAGCCCUGGGUCGCAAACGGGAUUAGAUACCCCGGUAGUCCAGGGUGUAAACGCUGCAGACUUGGUGUUGGGGGCCCUACGUGGGCGUUCAGUGCCGGAGAGAAGUUGUUAAGUCUGCUACUUGGGGAGUACGUCCGCAAGGAUGAAACUUAAAGGAAUUGGCGGGGGAGCACAAUCCAUGUCAAGUCC
Molecule: ribosomal RNA, 805 nt
Filed under: uncultured archaeon
Lineage: Archaea
Description: bacterial SSU rRNA
Rfam family: Archaeal small subunit ribosomal RNA
Source: RNAcentral